GAACCUUCGGGGAACGAUAACGGCGUCGAGCGGCGGACGGGUGAGUAAUGCCUAGGAAAUUGCCCUGGUGUGGGGGAUAACCAUUGGAAACGAUGGCUAAUACCGCAUAAUACCUACGGGUCAAAGAGGGGGACCUUCGGGCCUCUCGCGUCAGGAUAUGCCUAGGUGGGAUUAGCUAGUUGGUGAGGUAAUGGCUCACCAAGGCGACGAUCCCUAGCUGGUCUGAGAGGAUGAUCAGCCACACUGGAACUGAGACACGGUCCAGACUCCUACGGGAGGCAGCAGUGGGGAAUAUUGCACAAUGGGCGCAAGCCUGAUGCAGCCAUGCCGCGUGUGUGAAGAAGGCCUUCGGGUUGUAAAGCACUUUCAGUCGUGAGGAAGGUAGUGUAGUUAAUAGCUGCAUUAUUUGACGUUAGCGACAGAAGAAGCACCGGCUAACUCCGUGCCAGCAGCCGCGGUAAUACGGAGGGUGCGAGCGUUAAUCGGAAUUACUGGGCGUAAAGCGCAUGCAGGUGGUUUGUUAAGUCAGAUGUGAAAGCCCGGGGCUCAACCUCGGAAUAGCAUUUGAAACUGGCAGACUAGAGUACUGUAGAGGGGGGUAGAAUUUCAGGUGUAGCGGUGAAAUGCGUAGAGAUCUGAAGGAAUACCGGUGGCGAAGGCGGCCCCCUGGACAGAUACUGACACUCAGAUGCGAAAGCGUGGGGAGCAAACAGGAUUAGAUACCCUGGUAGUCCACGCCGUAAACGAUGUCUACUUGGAGGUUGUGGCCUUGAGCCGUGGCUUUCGGAGCUAACGCGUUAAGUAGACCGCCUGGGGAGUACGGUCGCAAGAUUAAAACUCAAAUGAAUUGACGGGGGCCCGCACAAGCGGUGGA
Molecule: ribosomal RNA, 874 nt
Filed under: Vibrio harveyi
Lineage: Bacteria; Pseudomonadati; Pseudomonadota; Gammaproteobacteria; Vibrionales; Vibrionaceae
Description: bacterial SSU rRNA
Rfam family: Bacterial small subunit ribosomal RNA
Source: RNAcentral